GAUGAACGCUGGCGGCGUGCCUAAUACAUGCAAGUCGAGCGAACAGACGAGGAGCUUUCUCCUCUGACGUUAGCGGCGGACGGGUGAGUAACACGUGGAUAACCUACCUAUAAGACUGGGAUAACUUCGGGAAACCGGAGCUAAUACCGGAUAAUAUAUUGAACCGCAUGGUUCAAUAGUGAAAGACGGUUUUGCUGUCACUUAUAGAUGGAUCCGCGCCGCAUUAGCUAGUUGGUAAGGUAACGGCUUACCAAGGCAACGAUGCGUAGCCGACCUGAGAGGGUGAUCGGCCACACUGGAACUGAGACACGGUCCAGACUCCUACGGGAGGCAGCAGUAGGGAAUCUUCCGCAAUGGGCGAAAGCCUGACGGAGCAACGCCGCGUGAGUGAUGAAGGUCUUCGGAUCGUAAAACUCUGUUAUUAGGGAAGAACAAAAGUGUAAGUAACUAUGCACGUCUUGACGGUACCUAAUCAGAAAGCCACGGCUAACUACGUG
RNAcentral lists this ribosomal RNA (497 nucleotides) under uncultured bacterium. Its description in RNAcentral is "partial 16S ribosomal RNA". It matches the Rfam family "Bacterial small subunit ribosomal RNA", at positions 28 to 507 of the family's 1533-position model. The record is from RNAcentral.